Molecule: ribosomal RNA, 435 nt
Filed under: uncultured bacterium
Lineage: Bacteria
Description: partial 16S ribosomal RNA
Rfam family: Bacterial small subunit ribosomal RNA
Source: RNAcentral
GAUGAACGCUGGCGGUAUGCUUAACACAUGCAAGUCGAACGGACUCUUCGGAGUUAGUGGCGGACGGGUGAGUAACGCGUGAGAAUCUGGCUUUGGGUUCGGGACAACCACUGGAAACGGUGGCUAAUACCGGAUGUGCCGAGAGGUAAAAGAGAAAUUGCCUGAAGAUGAGCUCGCGUCUGAUUAGCUAGUUGGUGAGGUAAAGGCUCACCAAGGCAGCGAUCAGUAGCUGGUCUGAGAGGAUGACCAGCCACACUGGGACUGAGACACGGCCCAGACUCCUACGGGAGGCAGAAGGGGGGAAUUUUCCGCAAUGGGAGAAAGCCUGACGGAGCAAUACCGCGUGAGGGAAGAAGGCUCUUGGGUUGAAAACCUCUUUUCUUAGGGAAGAAAAAAAUGACGGUACCUAAGGAAUCAGCAUCGGCUAACUCCGUG